AAAAUUACAUUGGCGCUACAUGGCCAAAAAAGUCUUCUAUACGUGCUUAAACCAUGUUUUUGCCUUCUCAAGUGCCUCAGAGCCAAAGAAUUCUUUCACCUUGAGGCCCACGACGAUCUCAAUGAGACUUUUGUUUGAGGGACGAAAAACAUUUUGUAAGGCGCCGGGGAUGGCAGCUCCAAUAUCCGCGAAGUCUGGAAAUACAACAUUUGUACGAGCUCAACAAGAAGGCAUAUUCUGGCAUCAGCGAUUUCAACAAAGAUUAGUGCUUAACAUCAAGUCUAUGAUGAGUGCAAGACCGACUACAACCAUGCUCUGAUACCAAAUUGACACAUCCCAACCCAGAAUUUCCAUGUGUCCAUCCAAAUUGUCAUGAGUUGGCCGUCACCCGGAGGAUGACAAAGCCAUAAAGUAGGGUUAAUGUGUAAAAGUGAGGAUAAAUUUAAACUUUAAAUAAAUAAACCAGAGUGCACAACGUGAUUGGGUGGUAACCCUUAUUACAAAAUAUGAAGUUCAGAGUAUAAUGCAAAAAGAUAAAAGUUGUCUCAUCCGUAAAUGAUGAUUAUUUAAUACAUAAGCAACUUACUUUGACUUAAGGACAGUCAACUACUUCCACUAGAACCUCGUACUCCCACAAGAUCAAUCUUUACGUCCUGGAGGGGUGAAAAACAAAGGUGAAUGGGCCUAAAAAAUAAAGUUUUCUAAAACCUUUUUGAAAAUGUGUAACCCCUCGUUGUAAAACAAGUAUAUAAUUUCCCAAAGUAAUAAUAUAAUAAUAGGUAGUAGGGAACCCUGCAGCAUAAAUGAGUUAAAGGAUAUAGGGUGCUACUACGAAAUAUCUUAUCAUCAAAACUCAAAUAGCUAUCAUAAAAUCGUAAAUCCUGAAAAUCAUUAAAAAUUCAUUGCUAUGAAAAUCACUACUCAUUAUCUAUGUAGGCACACAAGUCAUACAGAAAGUCGCUGCAUGAACAGGUUGGGUGUAGGUUUUACGUUAUAGUACUACAUCACGUGAAGUUGGCGCUACGCGCAUCACAUACAAGUCCAAACAACAAACCUAGGGAUAGGCUGGCACCUAACUCUGGAUCUAAAGCGAACAUAAACGGUGCAUGUGAACAUACGUGAAGCUAGUCCUUGGCCCAGGAUAGUACAACUAACUAAUAAACACCAUGUAGACAUGUUACAAUGAGCAGGUAUAAUGAAUAAAGAUGUCAUGCCACAUUUUAUACUCGUAGUUAAUAAAAACAUAAAGUGUAGAAAAUCUAGUAAGAAGAUAAACAUGGCAUGUCACAUCAAUUAUGUAAAGAAACAGUUA
RNAcentral lists this long non-coding RNA (1312 nucleotides) under Malus domestica (apple). RNAcentral describes it as "long non-coding RNA (MDOM_LNC000740)". The record is from RNAcentral. Lineage: Eukaryota; Viridiplantae; Streptophyta; Magnoliopsida; Rosales; Rosaceae.